RNAcentral lists this ribosomal RNA (253 nucleotides) under uncultured bacterium. RNAcentral describes it as "partial 16S ribosomal RNA". It matches the Rfam family "Bacterial small subunit ribosomal RNA", at positions 524 to 776 of the family's 1533-position model. The record is from RNAcentral.
UACAGAGGGGGCAAGCGUUGUUCGGAAUUACUGGGCGUAAAGGGCGCGUAGGCGGCCUUCUAAGUCGAACGUGAAAUCCCCGGGCUCAACCCGGGAACUGCGUCCGAUACUGGAAGGCUUGAAUCCGGGAGAGGGAUGCGGAAUUCCAGGUGUAGCGGUGAAAUGCGUAGAUAUCUGGAGGAACACCGAUGGCGAAGGCAAUCCCCUGGGCCUGCACUGACGCUCAUGCACGAAAGCGUGGGGAGCAAACAGG